GUGCUUAACUUCUGGAGCACAUAUACUAAAAUUAGAACCAUACAGAGAAGGAUCAGCAUGGCCUCUGCUCAAGGAUGACAUGUAAAUAGUGUUUGUGUUGCUAACGUUUU
RNAcentral lists this small nuclear RNA (110 nucleotides) under Tupaia belangeri (northern tree shrew). The record is from RNAcentral. Lineage: Eukaryota; Metazoa; Chordata; Mammalia; Scandentia; Tupaiidae.